GAUGAACGCUAGCGGCAGGCUUAACACAUGCAAGUCGAGGGGUAACAGGGAAGCUUGCUUCUGCUGACGACCGGCGCACGGGUGCGUAACGCGUAUACAAUCUACCUUAUACUGGAGGAUAGCCCUAAGAAAUUGGGAUUAAUACUCCAUAGUAUUAUAUUUUCGCAUGAUUAUAUAAUUAAAGUUCCGGCGGUAUAAGAUGAGUAUGCGUGAUAUUAGUUAGUUGGUGAGGUAACGGCUCACCAAGACUUCGAUAUCUAGGGGGUCUGAGAGGACUAUCCCCCACACUGGUACUGAGACACGGACCAGACUCCUACGGGAGGCAGCAGUGAGGAAUAUUGGUCAAUGGAGGCAACUCUGAACCAGCCAUGCCGCGUGAAGGAAGAAUGCCCUAUGGGUUGUAAACUUCUUUUAUUUGGGAAGAAACCUUUCUACGUGUAGAAAGCUGACGGUACCAAACGAAUAAGGACCGGCUAACUCCG
Molecule: ribosomal RNA, 482 nt
Filed under: uncultured Crocinitomix sp.
Lineage: Bacteria; Pseudomonadati; Bacteroidota; Flavobacteriia; Flavobacteriales; Crocinitomicaceae
Description: bacterial SSU rRNA
Rfam family: Bacterial small subunit ribosomal RNA
Source: RNAcentral